UCCCUGGUGGUCCAGUGGUUAGGACUCUGCACUUCUGCUGCAGGGGGCACAGGCUCGAUCCCUGGUCAGGGAA
This is a non-coding RNA of Orcinus orca (killer whale), 73 nucleotides long. The record is from the annotation of a RefSeq genome assembly. Lineage: Eukaryota; Metazoa; Chordata; Mammalia; Artiodactyla; Delphinidae.